This 465-nucleotide ribosomal RNA is filed under the name uncultured bacterium. Its description in RNAcentral is "partial 16S ribosomal RNA". It matches the Rfam family "Bacterial small subunit ribosomal RNA", at positions 338 to 795 of the family's 1533-position model. The record is from RNAcentral.
CCUACGGGUGACAGCAGUGGGGAAUAUUGCGCAAUGGGCGAAAGCCUGACGCAGCGACGCCGCGUGAGGGAUGAAGGUCUUCGGAUCGUAAACCUCUGUCAGCAGGGAAGAAAGGUCACUGUGCUAAUCAGCAGUGAAUUGACGGUACCUGCAAAGGAAGCACCGGCUAACUCCGUGCCAGCAGCCGCGGUAAUCCGGAGGGUGCGAGCGUUAAUCGGAAUUAAUGGGCGUAAAGCGCUCGUAGGCGGCAUGUCAAGUCCAGGGUGAAAUCCCCGCGCUCAACGUGGGAACUGCCUUUGAAACUGGCAAACUGGAGUGUGUGAGAGGAUAGUGGAAGUCCAGGUGUAGGAGUGAAAUCCGUAGAUAUCUGGAGGAACAUCAGUGGCGAAGGCGACUAUCUGGCACAUAACUGACGCUGAGGAGCGAAAGCGUGGGUAGCAAACAGGAUUAGAUACCCGAGUAGUC